CUAAUACCGCAGGACCAUAGUUACCGCAUGGUAGCUAUGUAAAAGGUGGCUAUGCUACCGCUUUUGGAUGGGCCCGCGGCGCAUUAGCUAGUUGGUGGGGUAAAGGCUUACCAAGGCAAUGAUGCGUAGCCGAACUGAGAGGUUGAUCGGCCACAUUGGGACUGAGACACGGCCCAAACUCCUACGGGAGGCAGCAGUAGGGAAUCUUCCACAAUGGGCGAAAGCCUGAUGGAGCAACGCCGCGUGGGUGAAGAAGGUCUUCGGAUCGUAAAACCCUGUUGUUAGAGAAGAAAGUGCGUGAGAGUAACUGUUCACGUUUCGACGGUAUCUAACCAGAAAGCCACGGCUAACUACGUGCCAGCAGCCGCGGUAAUACGUAGGUGGCAAGCGUUAUCCGGAUUUAUUGGGCGUAAAGGGAACGCAGGCGGUCUUUUAAGUCUGAUGUGAAAGCCUUCGGCUUAACCGGAGUAGUGCAUUGGAAACUGGGAGACUUGAGUGCAGAAGAGGAGAGUGGAACUCCAUGUGUAGCGGUGAAAUGCGUAGAUAUAUGGAAGAACACCAGUGGCGAAAGCGGCUCUCUGGUCUGUA
RNAcentral lists this ribosomal RNA (588 nucleotides) under uncultured bacterium. RNAcentral describes it as "bacterial SSU rRNA". It matches the Rfam family "Bacterial small subunit ribosomal RNA", at positions 163 to 738 of the family's 1533-position model. The record is from RNAcentral.